Long non-coding RNA from Trichogramma pretiosum, 467 nucleotides. RefSeq lists it as uncharacterized. NCBI's taxonomy places the organism in Eukaryota, Metazoa, Arthropoda, Insecta, Hymenoptera, Trichogrammatidae. The record is from RefSeq and is a predicted model, not a curated record. The transcript has 3 exons.
UAUGUAUCAUAAAUCAAGUGUAAAAAUGGACUGAAAUCAUUCAUCAUCAUCAUCACCUAUAUUGAAGGUUUUUAAAUAAAUUAUUAGAAAACGAAUAAUGGUGUAAUUAUGUCAUAUUAGUAAAGUUAGUUCAUUAACUUAAAUGUUGAAGAAAAUGUAUUUAUAUCGUUUAUUAGAAGAUAUAAAAAGGGACCCAGUAAUGGAUUAGUUCAAUUAUAACAAUAAUUUGUCAAGUUCAACAAAAUAUUGUUAAGAUAACAGAACUAUGUGAAUGAUGAACUGAAAAGAGAUUAGACUACUGAAGAUACCAAUUUAAAUAUUGAAAAAUAUUUAUCAGUUUUCAAGAAAUUCUCGUGUAUCCUGUUCAAGAACAGAUCAUUGAAUGACCCAGAUUUGGUAAUAUUUUCCUUUUUUUUUUUAUUAUAUAAUUUUGAAAAUAUACAACAUUUUAGAGAAAAAUUACUUCC